GAUGAAGAACGCAGCGAAAUGCGAUAAGUAAUGUGAAUUGCAGAAUUCAGUGAAUCAUCGAAUCUUUGAACGCACCUUGCGCCCUUUGGCCAUUCCGAAGGGCAUGCCUGUUUGAGUAUCAUGAACACCUCAACUCUUCAUGGUUUUCCGUGAUGAGCUUGGACUUUGGGGGUCUUGCUGGCCUAUGGUCAGCUCCUCUAAAAUAAAUCAGCUUGCCAGUGUUUGGUGGGUAUCACAGGUGUGAUAACUAUCUACGCUUGUGGUUUUCCACCAGGUAACCUUCAGCAGUGGAGGUUCGCUGGAGCUCACAGAUGUGUCUCUCCUCAGUGAGGACAGCUCUUUGAAUGUUUGAUCUCAAAUCAGGUAGGACUACCCGCUGAACUUAAGCAUAACAAUAAGCGGAGGA
RNAcentral lists this unclassified non-coding RNA (406 nucleotides) under soil metagenome. RNAcentral's name for it is "partial contains 5.8S ribosomal RNA, internal transcribed spacer 2, and large subunit ribosomal RNA". The stretch from base 1 to 121 matches the Rfam family "5.8S ribosomal RNA", at positions 35 to 154 of the family's 154-position model. The record is from RNAcentral.